CAAACAGACAUAUCAUACCAACCACAGUGGACACAAACUCAAAUCCUCAUCUCCACUCCUGAUAUAAAUAUGUUCUUCCAUUCAGAUGAUAGACGGUGUAAAUCCAGACAGCUUUCCUCCUGGUUUCGUGUCCCACGUUGCCUUCAGUGUGCUGAGAGCAGAGAAAUCAUUUCCAUAGAGAGGAGGCUUUGCAUGGUCAGCUGAUCCUCCAGUGAGAAGGUUUAUAGUCCUGUGAGUUCAACACUGCAGGACUCACAUCUGUCAGUCAGCAGAAAGCACCAUGACUCUCAUCACCAUCCUCAUCUGGACGCUGGCCUGCUGCUGUUUCACAGGAUGCAGCGGUCAGGUGACUGUGACUCAGCCUGCAGUCCAGACGUCUGCUCCAGGAUCCACCGUCACUCUCACCUGUAAAACAAGCAGAAAUGUUGCAUUUCCGGGGUCUAGUGAAUAUAUGUUCUGGUAUCAACAGAAAUCUGGACAGCCUCCAAAGCUCCUGAUUAAAUAUGUGAGCACACGUGAAUCAGGAACAGAACCUCGGUUUAGUGGCAGUGGAGGCGGCUCUGACUUCUAUAUGACCAUCACUGGACUGAAGGCUGAAGAUGCAGCAGUUUAUUACUGUCAGAGUCGCCACAUCAUAAACAGUGUUAAUCUGUGGACUUUUGGUGGAGGAACCAAACUCAUCGUUGACUUGGGUGUGCAGCGGCCCACCCUGAGCGUCCUCCCCCCCUCCAGAGAGGAGCUGCAGCAGGGCAGUGCCACCGUGGUGUGUCUGGCCAGCGGGGGCUUCCCCUCCGCCUGGAGGCUGGGCUGGAAGCUGGGGGGCAGCAGCAGCUCCUCAGGGGGGUCCCACAGCCCGGAGGUCCUGGGGAGCGACGGCCGCUACAGCUGGAGCAGCACCCUGAGCCUCUCUGCAGAGCGCUGGAGGGGGGCGGGCUCAGUGAGCUGUGAGGCCAGUCUGAGUGGACAGAGCCCUGUCACUCAAAGCCUGGACCCUGCCCGCUGCUCGGAGUAGAGCAUCACUUCCUGUCUGGAGAGGAAGCAGCUUCUUUGGUAGAGAUCUUCAUGAAGACACACAUCUCCUCUGCUCACAUGUUGCUGCUGUCUCUGUUCAGUUGUUAGUGCUGCUCUCUAAUCCUCACUUCCUGCAUAUUCUCCUGUUUGUUCAUCAGCUCACAAUUCAACUGGAUUUCAUUUGUUUCACUCCAACAGAAACUCAUCAUUCAUCUCAAAUGUGGCGUGAGCUUUAAACCAUCAUUAAAUAAAAAUGUUGAUUAAAAUGA
This is a non-coding RNA of Trematomus bernacchii (emerald rockcod), 1280 nucleotides long. The record is from the annotation of a RefSeq genome assembly. NCBI's taxonomy places the organism in Eukaryota, Metazoa, Chordata, Actinopteri, Perciformes, Nototheniidae.